CAGGUGCAGCACCUGCAGAAGGUUCUAACCAAAAAGAGGGACCCAGUGUCUCGUGUGCUUUAUUGAUGAGAUUAUCAAGGAUGGGCAGCCUGACAUCUUGCACACCUUCUGGAGUUCAGUCACUCAGACGCUCUCCGAGGAGCUGCAGAAAGCCACAGCUGCAUCAACCUUCCUGAAGCAGGCCCUGGAGGGAGAGUAUCCCAAACUCUCGAGGCUGUAUAAUGAGCUCUGGAAGAGGCUCCAGCAGUACAGAUCAAGCAUACAGGGGGCGCUAGUGAGCAGUGGUGCAGGUCUAGAUGUGGACCUGUCAGUGAUGCUGAAGAUCUGACUAUGAUCCAGAGAAGGAUCUGAAGGACUCUCUUCAGCCAUAUGAAGCAGCUUACCUGUCCAAGUCUCUUGUGUGACCCCAUCAAUCUUGAUCAGAAACCCACCUUCUGAUGAUGAACUUGACAGCAUCAUUAAAACAAUAGCCAGGUACUCCUCCAUUAUGCAUAGUGUAUCAUAACUCUGUUCCAUCAGUAUGUGGCCUUCUAAUGCUGCUUUUCAAUUGCAUGGUGCAGCUCAUUUUUGGGGGGUUUUGCAUUGAGUACAGUACCUGGUAUUUGUUUUGAUACCACCUCAGUCACUGAAAUGUGACGUGUUAACACUGCAGAUCACUGAUUGGUCAGAGAAUCUUCACUUCCAGCAUCAUUGGAUUUGUGACACGAGACACUAGAUUUAAAUAGUCAGCAUCCGCCACAGCAUUAUCAUUUGUUUGCAUGUCUUUUUUUAAACGAUUUGCUUUAAACGACCAUUGCACUAUAAUAAUCUAUAAUCCCACCAAUUUUGAAGUGGUUCGAAACUGCAGUGGAAAAGCAAACCGAGCCAAAGUAAAGCAAGCAUCACACUGUGAAAAGACGCCAUAAGAAAGCUCAUUUUGAGCACAGUGUUAAGGAAGUAUUGCAUGUUUCCAUGAAGAAAAGAAUCCAAUAAUGCACUGGAAGCAUUUGGAGUCAAGAGAAAUAGAUAUAGUUACACUUCAUAUAAUACUAAAAUUACUAAAGGACUAAUAAUGGACUUUUGAUUACACUUCUGAUUGUUUUUAUUGCCUGUAACAGUUGAUACCGUUAUGUUGUUUUUGCACGUUAGUGAGCUAAUUGUUGCAUCAGUGGAUUCCAGCCUAACGAUCGCAGUGGCCAAGAACGCCGCCAAGACUGUGCAGCUUUUCUGCGUCAAGUCAGAGCAGUUGGUAAGACACACACAGAGAUAAUGAGCUAGGCUGAGCGGGAGGCUGUCUGCUCUCAUGCCCCUCAACACUGCCAGGGAGGUGACACACACGGCUCAUAAUGAGAGCCGAGCCAGGGUGGGGUUCAUUUCAACAAGCGUCAGAGAAUCAGAGCACCUUCUGUGAGCCGUGACCUGGACAAGAGCAGGGCGGAUUUCACCCUAUACCUAUAGAGGUGCUACUUGAUUUGGACUUUUAAUAGAAGCAACACAGGCAAAGGUGAGAUCGAGCAUGCAAUGCAAUGUAGUUCGAGGACAAAUCAGUUUGCAACACAAUAUUCAUGCUCUUAGUUUCCUAAAUGAACUUCUCUGCUCUUAUAUUGUGGCUGAUAGAUGUGUGCUAAGCUACUGGUCAGAGUGGCUCGAAUCACAAUCUCUUUUAUCAGUAGUGAUCCACAUUAAGCCAUCACAAGAUUUACAGUAAGAUCCUUAAUCACUUAAUGGUAGCAUUUUACUUACAGCCUUUAUGCAUUAGAAAAAUAGUUUUAUUGCAUUGAUUAUGCACAUUAUAUGCAUUGUACAAUCUCAUGAAUAAUUGUGACCAGUAAAUGCAUUAUAACACUUAUCUAUUCAUUGUUGCUCUAUGCAUUUUAAAUUCAGAUGUAAUUAUUUACGACAAGAUAUAAUGUAUGUACAUUAUGAAUAAUUAUAAUGCAUUAAUAACCCUUUAUAAUCCAUUUCACUUUAAAAGCUUAAGUAGAUCUAUAGAGUUUGAGUUAACUACAAAGCCGAGAUAGCUUUACAAGUGAGUGAUUCCUCUCAUUCCUUAAUUAUUCUCAUUUCAGUUAAUUGUCACCUGCUCUCCAAAGAUUAUGCAGCUGACCUCUUUAGUGCAAAACAAUAAUUUAAAGACAACAUGGAGUCCACAUUUACCAUGUUUAUCUCUGUUGACCUCUCAUAUCCUUCCUGCUGUGAUAAUGGAAUGGGUCUUAAACCAACUCCGAUCUACAGAUUUCUGCAGAGUGCACUUGCAGGAGAAUGAUUUCCAAAAUAUAGAUGAUAACCUCAGGCUUGAGAGAAUUUCUCCGAAUGAUUCAUCCGAGCUGAUUAUCAUUGGCACAAUCCAAUCAGUUGAUCCCAUUGAAGCAGUCAUUGCCAGCUUUCUUCAGGACUAUUCUUUAGUAAUCUUGUAUGGUUUGUGAAAAAGUGAAAAUCCUGUCAUUUAUUUGUUCACCCUCAUGUUGUUCCAAACCCAUAAGACCUAAGUUCAUAUUUUUUAAACAAAUAAAAAAUAUGGAAACAAAUGAAUGAAACCUGACAGGCUUCUGUUACUCCAUUGAAAGUCCAAUUUAAAGAUCCAAAAAGGUUUUAAAAGCAUAAUAAAAUAAAUAAAUAAAUAUGAAUAGAGUGGUUUAAUACAAAUCUUGUAAAAAGAUACGAUCGCAUUAAAUGAUGAUUAUUUAAUUUGGUCUUUUUUGCUUACCUGGACUUUCAGUGGACGACCAGAAACCUCUCAGGUUUCUUAAAAAAUAUCUUGAUUCAUGCCUUUAAGAUUACCCAAAGACUUAUGGUUUUGGAAUAACAUAAGGGUAAAAAAAUUAUGACAGAUUUAUUUUGUGGGUGGAUUGUCUUUUUAAAAUAUAGAUACAAUAAUUAAUAGAAUUUUUUUUUUUUUUUCAAAAAUAGGUCAGUGUUUGAGUUUUAAAGUAGCUUCCUGUAAUCUGGUUUAGCUGCAUGAGAAAUAUCUAAAAACAGGGCUCUUUCAUGAGGAUUACAGAGGUAUAAGAAUGUUUUUGGUCUUCGGGCAGGUUUAGCGCAGACCUAGUUCAUCACUGUAUUGGACUGCAGAUAUGCACCGGAGGCUUCGCUUUAUUUAACAUCAGGUGUGAAGGAGCAACCCACUUCGAUUGUUCACUAGUGUUGCUGCACCUCACCUGGCAUCUCCACACCUGCCACGGGAAACCUUAAUUAACCAUUGCCUUGCCAUUUUUAGACUGUUGUCAUGGUACCCCUGCUGCCACCAUCCUAUGUGGUUGUUCCUCGCAGACAAUGUGUGGUAUUUUUUCCUUCCCCAGUCCUCCACCUUUGAUGAGAGGUGUGAUGUCUUGGAGGUUGUGCUGCUGUUUGUUUAGGAUGCAGCAGAGUGGCACGAAUACGUGUUUGAGUGCAGUAGUUCGCUCGUGACUGAGACAACCUUUCGCUUGUUAGUUCCUGUGGUGUGGCACUGAGCCGGGCAAAUCCUUCUUCUCUUCCGUCUCCCUGUUGCUCGCCCUCCAUCCCACGAUGCCAGCUGCUUCUGCUGUCCGCGCUCCAUGGGUACCGCCUGUGUCUCAGCAUGCUGACCGCUGUGCCACCACUGAGCAAAGCGCUUCUGACCUCAGACGAACACUGGGGCAUCUGGGGAAAUUAGUGGGAGCCUGCGCUCGCCUCGCUUUGGAUGUUGUCUCCUUGAUUAUUUACUCAAGUCUUUGGCUGUGACGCUCAAUAUUGUUUAAUCUCUAAUUUUUUCUCCCCUUGUUCUUUCUUCUGUAUUUCUCUCUGCUGUGUGCACAAGGGGACGCCGGUCAGGUGAUCGGACCCCUGACGGAGGGUCAGAGGAGAAACAUCGCUGUGGUGAACUCGCUUUUUCUGCCGGCAGCAAGCUGUGGCUAAAACGAGUGAGCACAUCGCUGGGAGUCAAGCGCUGGGAGAUUUGAUCCCAUACAGCACCAUAUUGCAUUUCCUGUUCACUCGUGCCCCAUCUGAACUCAAAUCACCACAUCAGGGGGGCACGGGAGGCAUAUGUGCAGUCUGUCAGAGCCAGGAGUUUGUCCCGGUGUAUCCCAUCAUGCUCCAGUGGAUGCAGAAGGCCACAAGCGUCUCAUAGGAUCUGCAAACAGAGCCAUGUCUCAUCAGAAUAAUGCAGACAAUUUGUCACACAAUAAACUCUUCACCAAAAGAAGUCUUUAUUAUAUUUCAUUACAUUAUGAUGAUUGUUGAAGUAAGAAAUUAAUGUGUAUAGGUUUACAAUGUCUUUUAUAUGAGUUGUUUGAUUACGACUGGCUUUAAUAAGAAUCCCUGCAUUUUAAACAAAUCUAUACAAAUUUAAAAAUUAAUCUGUUUUGCUGGGUGCAGCAGAGUGCAAAACUAUUACUAAACACAUUACGCAAAUGCUGAUUAAAGAAUGUCUUAUUACUUCAGCACAGAUGUCUCAUUCAUCACAGGUUUUGAUUUAUAACUAUAACAGUUAUAUAUCUGACGAGUUAGCUUUUCACGUAUUUUCUGAUACAGAAAAAUUGUUUGGA
Long non-coding RNA from Carassius gibelio (silver crucian carp), 4487 nucleotides. RefSeq lists it as uncharacterized. The transcript has 6 exons. The record is from RefSeq and is a predicted model, not a curated record. NCBI's taxonomy places the organism in Eukaryota, Metazoa, Chordata, Actinopteri, Cypriniformes, Cyprinidae.